CCAUGGAGGGUGUUCGUGCGACUGCCCUGUUAGUUUAAAAUUAUUAAAGGUUGGAACUUU
This 60-nucleotide unclassified non-coding RNA is filed under the name synthetic construct. The record is from RNAcentral.